UUGACAGCUUUUUUUACCAAGUUUGGAGACUAAGGUGGUGUCCUACUCGAUCAAUUCCCGACUGCAGGCUGGCCGGCUCUUGAAGAACAGAUCGGCGCCAGCACAGCAAUAACAUCGGCAGUUCAAAGGCAAGGCACAAUGGCAGGGAACAAAGGAAAAGGGAAAGUUGAAGAAGCUGCACCCAUCCUUGACGAAACUCUCCCUUCUCCGGUGGCCACCUUCGAUAUAGGUGACAUUGAGAACCU
Molecule: long non-coding RNA, 245 nt
Organism: Triticum aestivum (bread wheat)
Lineage: Eukaryota; Viridiplantae; Streptophyta; Magnoliopsida; Poales; Poaceae
Exons: 3
Source: RefSeq, a predicted model, not a curated record